AGGAUUGCCUUAGUAACGGCGAGUGAAGCGGCAAAAGCUCAAAUUUGAAAUCUGGCACCUUCGGUGUCCGAGUUGUAAUUUGAAGAAGGUAACUUUGGAGUUGGCUCUUGUCUAUGUUCCUUGGAACAGGACGUCACAGAGGGUGAGAAUCCCGUGCGAUGAGAUGCCCAAUUCUAUGUAAAGUGCUUUCGAAGAGUCGAGUUGUUUGGGAAUGCAGCUCUAAGUGGGUGGUAAAUUCCAUCUAAAGCUAAAUAUUGGCGAGAGACCGAUAGCGAACAAGUACAGUGAUGGAAAGAUGAAAAGAACUUUGAAAAGAGAGUGAAAAAGUACGUGAAAUUGUUGAAAGGGAAGGGCUUGAGAUCAGACUUGGUAUUUUGCGAUCCUUUCCUUCUUGGUUGGGUUCCUCGCAGCUUACUGGGCCAGCAUCGGUUUGGAUGGUAGGAUAAUGACUAAGGAAUGUGGCUCUACUUCGGUGGAGUGUUAUAGCCUUGGUUGAUACUGCCUGUCUAGACCGAGGACUGCGUCUUUUGACUAGGAUGUUGGCAUAAUGAUCUUAAGCCACCCGUCUUGAAACACGGACCAAGGAGUCUAACGUCUAUGCGAGUGUUUGGGUGUAAAACCCGUACGCGUAAUGAAAGUGAACGUAGGUGAGAGCUCUUAAGAGUGCAUCAUCGACCGAUCCUGAUGUCUUCGGAUGGAUUUGAGUAAGAGCAUAGCUGUUGGGACCCGAAAGAUGGUGAACUAUGCCUGAAUAGGGUGAAGCCAGAGGAAACUCUGGUGGAGGCUCGUAGCGGUUCUGACGUGCAAAUCGAUCGUCGAAUUUGGGUAUAGGGCGAAAGACUAAUCGA
RNAcentral lists this ribosomal RNA (848 nucleotides) under Debaryomyces hansenii. RNAcentral's name for it is "LSU rRNA". It matches the Rfam family "Eukaryotic large subunit ribosomal RNA", at positions 71 to 938 of the family's 3401-position model. The record is from RNAcentral. Lineage: Eukaryota; Fungi; Ascomycota; Pichiomycetes; Serinales; Debaryomycetaceae.